AGCAGCCGCGGUAAUUCCAGCUCCAAUAGCGUAUAUUAAAGUUGCUGCAGUUAAAAAGCUCGUAGUUGAAUUUCGGGACUAAUAUGUCGGUCGUGCCUCGGUACGUACUGGUAUUUUUGGUUUCUCCCUUCUGACGAACCUUGAUGUCAUUAAUUUGGUGUUAUGGGGAGUUAGGACUGUUACUUUGAAAAAAUUAGAGUGUUUAAAGCAGGCAUUAGCUUGAAUACAUUAGCAUGGAAUAAUGAAGUAGGACGUUCGAUCCUAUUUUGUUGGCUUCUAGGAUCAACGUAAUGAUUAAUAGGGAUAGUUGGGGGCAUUAGUAUUCAAUUGUCAGAGGUGAAAUUCUUGGAUUUAUUGAAGACUAACUACUGCGAAAGCAUUUGCCAAGGAUGUUUUCAUUAAUCAAGAACGAAAGUUAGGGGAUCGAAGACGAUCAGAUACCGUCGUAGUCUUAACCAUAAACUAUGCCGACUAGGGAUCGGAUGAUGUUAAUUUUUAAUGACUCAUUCGGCGCCUUACG
RNAcentral lists this ribosomal RNA (520 nucleotides) under uncultured Glomus. RNAcentral describes it as "SSU rRNA". It matches the Rfam family "Eukaryotic small subunit ribosomal RNA", at positions 569 to 1092 of the family's 1831-position model. The record is from RNAcentral. Lineage: Eukaryota; Fungi; Glomeromycota; Glomeromycetes; Glomerales; Glomeraceae.